CAGUUGUCUGCAUUCUUAUCACUUUGUGGGAGUAGAGGUGUGUUUCCCCUAGACUGUGUUCGGUGAGUUAACUAAGUAUUGAAUUUCAAAAUAGAUUAAUUACAAGUUAUAUUUGUACACUUUAAAUUUGAUGGUUUUAAUCAUAGUUUAGCAUAGUAAAGUUGCUAAAGUUAAAGUUGUUAGCUAGCUUUCUUUUAGCUAGCAAACGUUCCUCGCAAAUACAGAGUACAUUGUCAAUUUUUCCACUUAUACUUAAAAUUUGUCACUUGUCAGGGUGCAUUUGGUUAGCUGACAGACCUUGCAGACAGCAGAGCAUGUUCAAUUUGAACCUGUAUAUGUUCAAAUUAACCAGUCAGCAGCUGCCUGCAUUUUUAUCAUGGUGUCAGAGUAAAUUUGUUUCGACGGUCUUGGGUGAGGUAACUAAUUACUGACAGAGUGAAAUGUGGUGAAUUUAUGCCAGAGUAUUUAUGUGAGUAAAAGUAUUUCUAUCAAAUGUAUUGAUAUUUUAAGCGCAAAUGUGAAAUAUGCCUGAGGUUAAAGUUAGUUGACCUAGCAAGAAAAAACUAAAUUGUGUGUGUGCACAUAAGACUUGCUUUCGUUACCUUCUGUAAUUGUAAGCAUAAUGUGAAGUGUGGGAUUGUGGCAUGUCUACAGUGGUCUUCAAAUAAUUAAAAAGAAAAUUCUCUCACACAUUUGGAUAUGACACACUUUUUCCAAUUUUAAACUACAGUCUGUAGAUUUAUUUAUUUAUUUUUUGAAUUUUGGAUUCAUCUUUUCAGUGUUUCAUUGUAGUAUUUUAGAGAAGGUUUUAUACUUAAAAUAACUUGUUAACUCAAAAGCCUCGAUAAGCCUUUGUAGUCUUUUAUAGUCCUUAGAACUCAACAAAAACUGUUUGAAAUAGUCUCCAAAUCUAGGUUACAUUUACUUUCACUCACCUUAACCUACUGCUAGCAAAGGGUGCAUUGAAAGCAGGGCAUUAUGUAACAGAUUAAAUUCAAGUUAUAAAAAUUAAAUUGUUUAUUGGUUAAAAACAAAAAUUAAAUCAAUAAUUAGCAAAACGCUAGUCCUAUGAAUGUAAUAUGUUUGACUUUUGGCCUAGUAAACUUUUUUUAUUCUCCAGAGUUCAGUGGAAACAAGAAGAGAGGUCGCAAUCCGUUGCCUGAUGGUGUAUCUGAAAGAGAAAGAAGAGGAUCUCUUCAGAGAACAGCUGGAUGGUGAAGAACAGUUCUCAGAAGAAGUGGUAAAGAUCGUAGUCACCAGACGUGCAGCAGUGCCACUUCCAGCCGUCGCUAAAAUUGUGAUUGAAGGAACAGCUGUCCUGGAAGACCUUGAUGUGCCCAGAGCGUGUGCCUUAAUGAUGGGACUUAUAUACGCUCUCAAUCUGAGCUACCCCAAACAAGUAAAGAACACUCUAGAGGUAUUCCAGAAGGUGUUUCUGGAACUUGAUGGGCUUAAAGCCAGCCCACAGGUAAUGUCUCUUAAGUACAAACUUCUGUUAUAAAACAAAUGUAAUUUAGGCUGCAAUAUUCAGAUGUGCUGAUGCUUGUGUUUUUUAUGCAGUCUUAGACAAGUGUAGUUUUGAGAGUUCAUAAUACGUAUAACCUUACCUUUGGAUUGUUGCGUUGUUAAAUAUUAACAUGUUUUGUAAUUUUCUUGAUUCUGUGAUAUUUACCAAGUUGCUAGGUUAAAGUUAAUGUUUAAUAAUACCGGUAAGCAGAUUUGCAAAAACAAAUUGCCUCACUUUGCAAUGUUUGUUUUCUGAGGUAUUUUAGAAGGGUGUGAUUUAAAAUUAUUGUUAUUUGGAAGACUUGAGAUAUAUAUAUAUAUAUAUAUAUAUAUAUAUAUAUAUAUAUAUAUAUAUAUAUGCGCCGCUUUAUUUUUAAUAUACCUUUACAAAUCUUUAUAGUGGUUCUCAAAGUCGGUCAUCAGGCCCCACUGCUCUGCUUCUUUCUAUUAAUAACUAAACACUGUUGAUUGGCUGG
Astatotilapia calliptera (eastern happy) is the source of this 1982-nucleotide long non-coding RNA. The record is from Ensembl. Lineage: Eukaryota; Metazoa; Chordata; Actinopteri; Cichliformes; Cichlidae.